GUGGCGCUCGAAGAGGGGCUCAUGGCCUAUCAGCUUGUUGGUAGGGUAACGGCUUCCCAAGGCAUCGACGGGUAGCUGGUCUGAGAGGACGAUCAGCUCACACUGGCACUGAGACACGGGCCAGACUCCUACGGGAGGCAGCAGUGAGGAAUAUUGCGCAAUGGGCGAAAGCCUGACGCAGCGACGCCGCGUGGGGGAAGAAGGUCUUCGGAUUGUAAACCCCUUUCAGGAGGAAAGAUGGGGUGGGUAACCACUCGGACGGUACCUCCAGAAGAAGCCACGGCUAACUUCGUGCCAGCAGCCGCGGUAAUACGAAGGUGGCGAGCGUUGUUCGGAUUUACUGGGCGUAAAGAGCACGUAGGCGGUUUGGUAAGCCCCUUGGGAAAGCUCCAGGCUUAACCUGGAAAGGUCGAGGGGGACUGCCAGGCUAGAGGACGGGAGAGGAGCGCGGAAUUCCCGGUGUAGCGGUGAAAUGCGUAGAUAUCAGGAGGAAGGCCGGUGGCGAAGGC
RNAcentral lists this ribosomal RNA (509 nucleotides) under uncultured bacterium. RNAcentral's name for it is "bacterial SSU rRNA". It matches the Rfam family "Bacterial small subunit ribosomal RNA", at positions 212 to 722 of the family's 1533-position model. The record is from RNAcentral.